RNAcentral lists this unclassified non-coding RNA (400 nucleotides) under Hevea brasiliensis (rubber tree). Lineage: Eukaryota; Viridiplantae; Streptophyta; Magnoliopsida; Malpighiales; Euphorbiaceae. The record is from RNAcentral.
AUGCCUUUGGUUCCGGUUGGUGAUAUUUUAUAGUUUCUUCAUUAAUUUGCUUUAGGCAUAAAGUUUGGUUAAGAAAUGAUGCUUUAACUGUUGAAUUAAAUUACUAAAACUAAAGUGCUUGUAUUGGGGGAGCUUUGCACUUUUGGGCUUGUGAGACCUGGCCUAGUGCAGUCCAUGUGAACCAAAUGGUCAGUUGGUCUUCAAUUUAUUUCAUUAACUGAUCCAUGCAUGCAAUCACCUCUUUUUUUUCUAUCUUUUCUUUUUUAGUUAUAUUGCAUUCAAUGAUGAACAUGGAUAAAAGAACUAAAGAAUACAUACAAAGGAGGAGAGUGUGUACCGUGUGUAUUAUUGCAACUAAGAAGCUCAAUGCAUAAUUACAUUAUUAGGGGUUGCUAGCAAU